This 492-nucleotide ribosomal RNA is filed under the name uncultured bacterium. RNAcentral's name for it is "partial 16S ribosomal RNA". It matches the Rfam family "Bacterial small subunit ribosomal RNA", at positions 29 to 507 of the family's 1533-position model. The record is from RNAcentral.
AGUGAACGCUGGCGGUAGGCCUAACACAUGCAAGUCGAACGGCAGCACAGUAAGAGCUUGCUCUUACGGGUGGCGAGUGGCGGACGGGUGAGGAAUACAUCGGAAUCUACUUUUUCGUGGGGGAUAACGUAGGGAAACUUACGCUAAUACCGCAUACGACCUACGGGUGAAAGCAGGGGAUCUUCGGACCUUGCGCGAUUGAAUGAGCCGAUGUCGGAGUAGCUAGUUGGCGGGGUAAAGGCCCACCAAGGCGACGAUCCGUAGCUGGUCUGAGAGGAUGAUCAGCCGCACUAGAACUGAGACACGGACCAGGCGCCUACGGGAGGCAGCAGUGGGGAAUAGUGGACAGUGGGCGCAAACCUGAUCCAGCCAUACCGCGUGGGUGAAGAAGGCCUUCGGGUUGUAAAGCCCUUUUGUUGGGAAAGAAAAGCAGCAGGUUAAGACCCCGCUGUUCUGACGGUACCCAAAGAAUAAGCACCGGCUAACUUCGUG